RNAcentral lists this ribosomal RNA (495 nucleotides) under uncultured bacterium. RNAcentral's name for it is "partial 16S ribosomal RNA". It matches the Rfam family "Bacterial small subunit ribosomal RNA", at positions 28 to 507 of the family's 1533-position model. The record is from RNAcentral.
GACGAACGCUGGCGGCGUGCCUAAUACAUGCAAGUAGAACGCUGAAGGAGGAGCUUGCUCUUCUGGAUGAGUUGCGAACGGGUGAGUAACGCGUAGGUAACCUGCCUGGUAGCGGGGGAUAACUAUUGGAAACGAUAGCUAAUACCGCAUAAGAGUAGAUGUUGCAUGACAUUUACUUAAAAGGUGCAAUUGCAUCACUACCAGAUGGACCUGCGUUGUAUUAGCUAGUUGGUGGGGUAACGGCUUACCAAGGCGACGAUACAGAGUCGACCUGAGAGGGUGAUCGGCCACACUGGGACGGAGACACGGCCCAGACUCCUACGGGAGGCAGCAGUAGGGAAGCGUCGGCAAUGGACGGAAGUCUGACCGAGCAACGCCGCGGGAGUGAAGAAGGUUGUCGGAUCGUAAAGCUCUGUUGUAAGAGAAGAACGAGUGUGAGAGUGGAAAGUUCACACUGUGACGGUAUCUUACCAGAAAGGGACGGCUAACUACGUG